Molecule: ribosomal RNA, 484 nt
Filed under: uncultured bacterium
Lineage: Bacteria
Description: partial 16S ribosomal RNA
Rfam family: Bacterial small subunit ribosomal RNA
Source: RNAcentral
AUUGAACGCUGGCGGCAGGCCUAACACAUGCAAGUCGAGCGGAUGAAGGGAGCUUGCUCCUGGAUUCAGCGGCGGACGGGUGAGUAAUGCCUAGGAAUCUGCCUGGUAGUGGGGGAUAACGUCCGGAAACGGGCGCUAAUACCGCAUACGUCCUGAGGGAGAAAGUGGGGGAUCUUCGGACCUCACGCUAUCAGAUGAGCCUAGGUCGGAUUAGCUAGUUGGUGGGGUAAAGGCCUACCAAGGCGACGAUCCGUAACUGGUCUGAGAGGAUGAUCAGUCAGACUGGAACUGAGACACGGUCCAGACUCCUACGGGAGGCAGCAGUGGGGAAUAUUGGACAAUGGGCGAAAGCCUGAUCCAGCCAUGCCGCGUGUGUGAAGAAGGUCUUCGGAUUGUAAAGCAAUUUAAGUUGGGAGGAAGGGCAGUAAGUUAAUACCUUGCUGUUUUGACGUUACCAACAGAAUAAGCACCGGCUAACUUCGUG